AGCAAAAAGUCAAGAACUCGAGUUUUUGAAAUGCGGGGUAGAAGUGAUGCUGUUAUUGUUGGAGGAAAUACUGUGCGCAAAGACAAUCCACGUUUGACGGUUAGACAUGGAGGUGACCAUCUGCCCCGGCGUGUUGUAUUAUCUCAAACUCUUGACCUUCCAGAAGAAGCACAUCUUUGGAAUGUUUCUGAGGUCCCCACUAUAGUUGCUACACAAAGAGGUGCAAAGAGAAGUUUCCAGAGAUUGCUUGCAUCCAAAGGCGUUGAAGUGGUGGAAUUUGAUAUUUUAGAUCCUAGAGAUGUUAUGGGGUACUUAUAUGAUCGUGGUUAUCUCUCUGUUUUGUGGGAGUGUGGAGG
This 356-nucleotide unclassified non-coding RNA is filed under the name Hevea brasiliensis (rubber tree). Lineage: Eukaryota; Viridiplantae; Streptophyta; Magnoliopsida; Malpighiales; Euphorbiaceae. The record is from RNAcentral.